RNAcentral lists this long non-coding RNA (438 nucleotides) under Sinocyclocheilus anshuiensis. Its description in RNAcentral is "lncRNA (ENSSANG00000016958.1)". Lineage: Eukaryota; Metazoa; Chordata; Actinopteri; Cypriniformes; Cyprinidae. The record is from RNAcentral.
UUUCCGACGUGGCAAUGAGCUAUACAUGACUGCAUGAGAAAGAGAGAGAGUCCUGCAGUUUGACUGUCAAUGAACAAUUCACUACCUGCCUGCAAUAAAGCUUAUCCACCGCUAGAGCCCAGGGAUUUCACCUCGUCCUUGAGAGACCAGCACAAAUCAACCCAAAUAAAACAUCCCGACACUGUUCACCUCUACCGGAGGGUCGUUUUCCUUCGAGACACGUGGACGAAGCCGUACACAGCAUUAGGGACAGAAGAGACGCAGCCUCUAUAGAGGGACUCAGACAGGGUGGGAGGAGAUCCCAGCAGGUAAAAAGACCCACCGCAGGUCACGACCACAAACAGCAUAUCAGCUGGCUAUUUCUGAACAGGCCAUUGUGUCUGAUUUCUGUCCACACAGACACACACACACACACACACGCGCACACACACACACACG